UUGGAGGGCAAGUCUGGUGCCAGCAGCCGCGGUAAUUCCAGCUCCAAUAGCGUAUAUUAAAGUUGUUGCAGUUAAAAAGCUCGUAGUUGAAUUUCGGGAUCAAAUUGUCGGUCGUGCCUCGGUACGCACUGGUAUUAUUGGUUCCUACCUUCUGAAGAACCGCGAUGUCAUUAAUUCGGUGUCGUGGGGAAUCAGGACUGUUACUUUGAAAAAAUUAGAGUGUUUAAAGCAGGCUUACGCUUGAAUACAUUAGCAUGGAAUAAUGAAAUAGGACGUUUGAUUCUAUUUUGUUGGUUUCUAGGAUUGACGUAAUGAUUAAUAGGGAUAGUUGGGGGCAUUAGUAUUCAAUUGUCAGAGGUGAAAUUCUUGGAUUUAUUGAAGACUAACUACUGCGAAAGCAUUUGCCAAGGAUGUUUUCAUUAAUCAAGAACGAAAGUUAGGGGAUCGAAGACGAUCAGAUACCGUCGUAGUCUUAACCAUAAACUAUGCCGACUAGGGAUCGGAUGAUGUUAAUUUUUUAAUGACUCAUUCGGCGCCUUACGGGAAAC
RNAcentral lists this ribosomal RNA (548 nucleotides) under uncultured Glomeromycotina. RNAcentral's name for it is "SSU rRNA". It matches the Rfam family "Eukaryotic small subunit ribosomal RNA", at positions 548 to 1098 of the family's 1831-position model. The record is from RNAcentral. Lineage: Eukaryota; Fungi; Glomeromycota.